ACGAACGCUGGCGGCGUGCCUAACACAUGCAAGUCGAGCGGAGAUUGCAGAAAUGUAAUUUUAGCGGCGGACGGGUGAGUAACGCGUGGGCAACCUACCUGUAACUGGGGGAUAACACAGGGAAACUUGUGCUAAUACCGCAUAACAUCAUGAAGCGACAUCGUUUUAUGAUCAAAGGAGAAAUCCGGUGACAGAUGGGCCCGCGUCCGAUUAGCUAGUUGGCGGUGUAAUAGACCACCAAGGCGACGAUCGGUAGCCGAACUGAGAGGUUGAUCGGCCACAUUGGGACUGAGACACGGCCCAGACUCCUACGGGAGGCAGCAGUGGGGAAUAUUGCGCAAUGGGGGGAACCCUGACGCAGCAACGCCGCGUGAAGGAUGAAGGUUUUCGGAUCGUAAACUUCUUUGAUUGGGGACGAAUAAUGACGGUACCCAAAAAACAAGCCACGGCUAACUACGU
RNAcentral lists this ribosomal RNA (459 nucleotides) under uncultured bacterium. RNAcentral describes it as "bacterial SSU rRNA". It matches the Rfam family "Bacterial small subunit ribosomal RNA", at positions 29 to 506 of the family's 1533-position model. The record is from RNAcentral.